CCUACGGGUGGCAGCAGUAGGGAAUCUUUCACAAUGGGCGAAAGCCUGAUGGAGCAACGCCGCGUGCAGGAUGAAGGCCUUCGGGUUGUAAACUGCUUUUAUAAGCGAGAAAUAUGAUGGUAACUUAUGAAUAAGGAUCGGCUAACUACGUGCCAGCAGCCGCGGUCAUACGUCGGAUCCGAGCAUUAUCCGGAGUGACUGGGUGUAAAGAGUUGCGUAGGUGGCAUAAUAAGUAGCUAGUGAAAUCUGGUGGCUCAACCAUUCAGACUAUUAGCUAAACUGUUAAUCUCGAGACCGUUAGGGGUAACUGGAAUUUCUAGUGUAGGAGUGAAAUCCGUAGAUAUUAGAAGGAACACCAUAGCGUAGGCAGGUUGCUGGGACGGUUCUGACACUAAGGCACGAAAGCGUAGGGAGCAAACGGGAUUAGAUACCCCAGUAGUC
RNAcentral lists this ribosomal RNA (441 nucleotides) under uncultured bacterium. RNAcentral describes it as "partial 16S ribosomal RNA". It matches the Rfam family "Bacterial small subunit ribosomal RNA", at positions 338 to 795 of the family's 1533-position model. The record is from RNAcentral.